ACAGGAAGCAAUUAAAAGACGCUGCUCUCAGCACACACUUAUCGAAAUAAGCCGGAUGUCCGCUGACUUAAAGGCCACAAAUGGAAAGAUUUACUCACUCGAGGCAAAACUCUUCCCCCUUCCCGUUGGCAGAAGGUGUCACCGCCGGAUAAUCACUCCAAACAGUUGUUUCUGGACGUAUGAGCUCCUUGGGCUACAGGAAGUCUUCACAUCCACGUCCAAUCGCAGGAGUGCCUUGACAAUUCUUGUCCUGCCUGCAAACAUCCAAUAACCUGAACCUCUAAAUGAAUUUCAUGCAGUGUCCAGUGUGUUAAAUGUGACCGUCGCAUG
Oreochromis aureus is the source of this 330-nucleotide long non-coding RNA. RefSeq lists it as uncharacterized. The record is from RefSeq and is a predicted model, not a curated record. NCBI's taxonomy places the organism in Eukaryota, Metazoa, Chordata, Actinopteri, Cichliformes, Cichlidae. The transcript has 3 exons.